CACCGCGGUUAUACGAGAGACCCAAGUUGACAAACACCGGCGUAAAGCGUGGUUAAGCUAGCACUCAUACUAAAGCCAAACAUCUUCAAAGCUGUUAUACGCAACCGAAGACAGGAAGCCCAACCACGAAAGUGACUUUAAUUUGACCUGAAUCCACGAAAGCUAAGGAA
RNAcentral lists this ribosomal RNA (170 nucleotides) under Icelinus quadriseriatus (yellowchin sculpin). RNAcentral's name for it is "partial small subunit ribosomal RNA". The record is from RNAcentral. Lineage: Eukaryota; Metazoa; Chordata; Actinopteri; Perciformes; Cottidae.